GGACCCGCACAAGCGGUGGAGCAUGUGGUUUAAUUCGAAGCAACGCGAAGAACCUUACCAAGUCUUGACAUCCUUCUGACCGACGAGUAACGUCGUCUUUCCUUCGGGACAGGAGUGACAGGUGGUGCAUGGUUGUCGUCAGCUCGUGUCGUGAGAUGUUGGGUUAAGUCCCGCAACGAGCGCAACCCUUAUUCUUAGUAGCCAGCAAGUGAAGUUGGGCACUCUAGGGAGACUGCCAGGGAUAACCUGGAGGAAGGUGGGGAUGACGUCAAAUCAUCAUGCCCCUUAUGAUUUGGGCUACACACGUGCUACAAUGGCGUAAACAAAGGGAAGCGACCCUGUGAAGGUAAGCAAAUCUACAAAAUAACGUCUCAGUUCGGAUUGUAGUCUGCAACUCGACUACAUGAAGCUGGAAUCGCUAGUAAUCGCGAAUCAGAAUGUCG
RNAcentral lists this ribosomal RNA (443 nucleotides) under uncultured Bacillota bacterium. RNAcentral's name for it is "bacterial SSU rRNA". It matches the Rfam family "Bacterial small subunit ribosomal RNA", at positions 917 to 1359 of the family's 1533-position model. Lineage: Bacteria; Bacillati; Bacillota. The record is from RNAcentral.